Molecule: long non-coding RNA, 740 nt
Organism: Sycon ciliatum
Lineage: Eukaryota; Metazoa; Porifera; Calcarea; Leucosolenida; Sycettidae
Exons: 3
Source: RefSeq, a predicted model, not a curated record
UAGCCGUUGCAGGAUAUCAUGGUCGUGCUGAUGAUUGUGUGGUGGAGUAGAUCUACCUGAUGCUUGACCUAGAACUGAUGGGCAAAGGCGUAGCGAAGCAUUCGUUAUUCACAUUCUGCUUCGGUCGUCACGUCAGUAAAGUAGACAUCGUUGUUGUCGGACCAACAUACCAAGCCCUACUGACCUGGCUACUACCAGGCAGUAAGCAUGGUGGGCCGUGUGCUCUUGCUCCUUCUGCUCUGUACCGUCAGCACAAGCAAUGUGAAUGCCUUCCUAUUCCCGUUCAAGCCACAGAUCCCAGGUGAUGAGCACAAUGAGCACGGAGGGCAGCAACAGCAGUCCCAAAGCGCCAACACAGUGACAUCGGCUGCUACAUCGCCUGCUACACCGACUGCUACAUUAGCUGCUGCAACGGCUGCUACAUUAGCUGCUACAUCGCCUGCUACAUCAUUUUCUUUUCAAUUCUCUACGCACCGUGGCGCUCCUGACACAGCAGAGCACUGUAGCAGUGUGUCUUUUGAGUGCAGAAUUAUCAUUCACAAUUUGCGGCCAGGAAUUCUAUAUCACUGGGGACGCAGCAAGUUGCCUGACCCCAUAGCAGAUAAGACUGAAAUCCUGAACGCAACUAAGCAACUCGUACCAGUGGGAGGAAAAAGAGACAAUAACUGUCGUUUGGAAUGUGGUCUUUCCCUGGUAGUAUCACCACAUCUACUGAAUCCUCUCGACUUCACCUAUGCAUA